GUAGUCUCGCACAGAUGCAUAUCAAUAAGCGGAGGAAAAGAAACUAACAAGGAUUCCCUUAGUAACGGCGAGUGAAGCGGGAAGAGCUCAAAUUUGAAAUCUUCAAGGUUUUACCUUGACGAAUUGUAGUUUAAAGAAGUGUUUUCUGUUGAAGUUUUGGUAAAAGUUCUUUGGAAUAGGACAUCAUAGAGGGUGAGAAUCCCGUAUUUGACCAUUAUUUUCAGCUGUGUGAUACACUUUCAAAGAGUCGGAUUGUUUGGGAAUGCAGUCCAAAAUGGGUGGUAAAUUUCAUCUAAAGCUAAAUAUUGGCGAGAGACCGAUAGCGAACAAGUACCGUGAGGGAAAGAUGAAAAGAACUUUGAAAGAGAGUUAAACAGUACGUGAAAUUGUCAAAAGGGAAGCGUUUGACACCAGUGUUGUUUUCUCGAAAAUCAAUUAAAAAGAGUUAGAUUUUGUUGUGUAUUGACCUUAACAGCUUGCAUUUCAAUUUUCUUGCUUUUUUUAAUGCACUUUUCGUUUAACAAGUCAACAUCAGUUUCUUUUGUUGUAAAAAGGUCAUUGGAAGGUGGCUUUCUUUUCGGAGAGAGUGUUUAUAGCCUUUGACUCCUGCAAUCGGAGAGACUGAGGUCUGCAGCGUAGAUCCUUCGGGGUUAGAUACAUUUGUGCUAAGUUAUAGCUUUUUAUAGACAACUUGUUGACUAUGAUUAGUCUUGUAGCUUACUCGCUUAUGCUAUUUUACCUACGCUUAGGAUGUUGAGCGCAUGUCUCUCUCU
Molecule: ribosomal RNA, 773 nt
Filed under: uncultured Neocallimastigales
Lineage: Eukaryota; Fungi; Neocallimastigomycota; Neocallimastigomycetes; Neocallimastigales
Description: partial large subunit ribosomal RNA
Rfam family: Eukaryotic large subunit ribosomal RNA
Source: RNAcentral